UACGUAGGGGGCGAGCGUUGUCCGAAGUUACUGGGCGUAAAGCGCGCGUAGGCGGCUUUUUAAGUCUGGGGUGAAAGGUUCACGGCUCAACCGGAACAGUGCCUUGGAGACUGGGAAGCUUGAGUCUGGCAGAGGAGCAUGGAAUUCCUGGUGUAGCGGUGAAAUGCGUAGAUAUCAGGAGGAACACCCAUGGCGAAGGCAGUGCUCUGGGCUAAGACUGACGCUGAGGUGCGAAAGCGUGGGGAGCGAACGGG
Molecule: ribosomal RNA, 254 nt
Filed under: uncultured bacterium
Lineage: Bacteria
Description: partial 16S ribosomal RNA
Rfam family: Bacterial small subunit ribosomal RNA
Source: RNAcentral